RNAcentral lists this ribosomal RNA (447 nucleotides) under uncultured bacterium. Its description in RNAcentral is "bacterial SSU rRNA". It matches the Rfam family "Bacterial small subunit ribosomal RNA", at positions 355 to 825 of the family's 1533-position model. The record is from RNAcentral.
UGGGGAAUAUUGGACAAUGGGCGCAAGCCUGAUCCAGCCAUGCCGCGUGGAUGAUGAAGGCCUUAGGGUUGUAAAAUCCUUUCGUUGGGGACGAUAAUGACGGUACCCAAAGAAGAAGCUCCGGCUAACUUCGUGCCAGCAGCCGCGGUAAUACGAAGGGGGCUAGCGUUGUUCGGAUUUACUGGGCGUAAAGCGCGUGUAGGCGGACUUGUAAGUUGGGGGUGAAAUCCCGAGGCUCAACCUCGGAACUGCCUCCAAAACUACAAAUCUGGACCUAAGUAGAGGCAAGUGGAAUUGCGAGUGUAGAGGUGAAAUUCGUAGAUAUUCGCAGGAACACCAGUGGCGAAGGCGACUUGCUGGACUUAUGGUGACGCUGAGACGCGAAAGCGUGGGGAGCAAACAGGAUUAGAUACCCUCGUAGUCCCUGAGCGGGCUGGCAAGGCGCAU